UACGUAGGGGGCAAGCGUUGUCCGGAUUUAUUGGGCGUAAAGCGCUCGCAGGUGGUUCGUCGCGUCGUGCGUGAAAGACCCCGGCUCAACUGGGGGGUGUCGUGCGAUACGGGCGAACUGGAGGCCAGUAGGGGGAUGCGGAAUUCCGGGUGUAGUGGUGGAAUGCGUAGAGAUCCGGAGGAACACCAGCGGCGAAGGCGGCAUCCUGGACUGGUCCUGACACUCAGGAGCGAAAGCGUGGGGAGCGAUCCGG
This 253-nucleotide ribosomal RNA is filed under the name uncultured bacterium. Its description in RNAcentral is "partial 16S ribosomal RNA". It matches the Rfam family "Bacterial small subunit ribosomal RNA", at positions 524 to 776 of the family's 1533-position model. The record is from RNAcentral.